GUUGCAUUCUCAUGGGCAAUCCUACUCAGCCCGCCGCGUGGGUAAGAAGGCCUUCGGGUUGUAAGCCCUUUAGUUGGGAAGAACCACAGUCUGGUCAAACCCUGGUCUGCUGACCUGACCCACCGAAUGAGCCCCCGGCAACUUCCUGGCCGCCGCCCCGGGUAAUAAAA
RNAcentral lists this ribosomal RNA (170 nucleotides) under uncultured Stenotrophomonas sp. RNAcentral describes it as "partial 16S ribosomal RNA". Lineage: Bacteria; Pseudomonadati; Pseudomonadota; Gammaproteobacteria; Lysobacterales; Lysobacteraceae. The record is from RNAcentral.